Long non-coding RNA from Cucurbita moschata (crookneck pumpkin), 391 nucleotides. RefSeq lists it as uncharacterized. The transcript has 2 exons. The record is from RefSeq and is a predicted model, not a curated record. NCBI's taxonomy places the organism in Eukaryota, Viridiplantae, Streptophyta, Magnoliopsida, Cucurbitales, Cucurbitaceae.
AGGUUCAAAGUUCAUUAGAUGGCUAUAAAUACUCUCCCCUCUGACCCAUAUUAAAACCAAAAUCGAAGAACACCGAAUCAAAGAGAUCAAGAUGUCUGAAUGUCCUCCCGGAAAAGAUCAAUGGCCCGAGCUUGUUUUCGUAGAGUAUUCCAUUGUUGCUAGGAUCAUUGAGAAGGAGAAUCCUAACGUGAAAGCACACAAGAUUCUAGCUGGGAGCCCGAGAAUUUUGAACUUUGAUUGUUCACGAGUUUGGGUUGAUGUCAAUAUCAAUGAUGUUGUUGUUAAAGUGCCUGGGAUUGGUUAAGGAUUGUGAAUUGAUAUCUAUGUAAUGUAUACAUAUAGUGCAUUUUAAAUUAAUAAUAAGGUAGUAUCUUCCUACCACUUUAAUUUC